RNAcentral lists this ribosomal RNA (279 nucleotides) under uncultured Staphylococcus sp. Its description in RNAcentral is "partial 16S ribosomal RNA". It matches the Rfam family "Bacterial small subunit ribosomal RNA", at positions 83 to 356 of the family's 1533-position model. Lineage: Bacteria; Bacillati; Bacillota; Bacilli; Caryophanales; Staphylococcaceae. The record is from RNAcentral.
CCUUUGACGUUAGCGGCGGACGGGUGAGUAACACGGUGGGUAACUACCUAUAAGACUGGGAUAACUUCGGGAAACCGGAGCUAAUACCGGAUAAUAUUUCGAACCGCAUGGUUCGAUAGUGAAAGGUGGUUUUGCUAUCACUUAUAGAUGGACCCGCGCCGUAUUAGCUAGUUGGUAAGGUAACGGCUUACCAAGGCGACGAUACGUAGCCGACCUGAGAGGGUGAUCGGCCACACUGGAACUGAGACACGGUCCAGACUCCUACGGGAGGCAGCAGCG